Molecule: ribosomal RNA, 460 nt
Filed under: uncultured bacterium
Lineage: Bacteria
Description: partial 16S ribosomal RNA
Rfam family: Bacterial small subunit ribosomal RNA
Source: RNAcentral
CCUACGGGGGGCAGCAGUGAGGAAUAUUGGUCAAUGGACGCGAGUCUGAACCAGCCAAGUCGCGUGAAGGAUGACUGCCCUAUGGGUUGUAAACUUCUUUUAUAAGGGAAUAAAACGAGGCACGUGUGCCUUUUUGCAUGUACUUUAUGAAUAAGGAUCGGCUAACUCCGUGCCAGCAGCAGCGGUAAUACGGAGGAUCCGAGCGUUAUCCGGAUUUAUUGGGUUUAAAGGGUGCGUAGAGGGGUUGUUAAGUCAGGUGUUAAAGUUUGCGGCUCAACCGUAAAAGUGCAAUUGAUACUGGGAGUCUUGAGUACAGUUGAGGUAGGCGGAAUUCGUGGUGUAGCGGUGAAAUGCUUAGAUAUCACGAAGAACUCCGAUUGCGAAGGCAGCUUACUAAACUGCCACUGACAUUGAGGCUCGAAAGUGUGGGUAUCAAACAGGAUUAGAUACCCGGGUAGUC